GUUUUAGCUGUAAAAGAGAGGGGGAAGGAGAAGAAGAGGUAAACUCUAAGCAGCUUGACCAUUAAUACUUUUGAGCAGCAGCAUCUUACAGGCCAGUGAUCAGAAAGAUGCAGAAGACGACAGAGUGGCAGUCUGUAGCAGAGCAUCCAAAGGUCUCACACAGGAGCCCAGCUACUGCUAGCCUGGUGACCUCAAAAGCAAAUGACAUCGUGUCGACCGGAGCUAAGUCUGCAUUCUACUCCCAGCUCUGCCACACACUUGCUAUGUGACCCUUGACACAGGAGUUAAUCUCCCAGUGCCUCUGUUUCCCCCCGUGUGGAGCACUUUGAGAUCUCUGGCUGGAAGGCACUGUAACUGUGAUAUGCCACCACCCUAUGAGGCAAUCCUGUUUCAGCUGCUUCCUUCCCUCCCAACUCACCAUUCAUUACACUAAUCUCCAGCCCAUGCCCAAGACAUGUUCACACUGAAAACAUGGCUGAUAUACAGAAACUUGGAGAGAUGAUUCUGCCUAGACCCUGCUGCAUUUUGGCCAUCUUGAUUCGCAGCCUAGAACUCCCCACACAACUUCAUCCAAUGCCAAUAACUGAAACACACCUGCUCACACACUUCUCGUCUGGCAUCAUAUUUCUGCACAUAGAAUUUAUUCUGCAUCUGAAAUGUGAGUUGUAAAAAAUCACCAGCACUAGAAGGAACUAUAGAAAGAGGAAAAUAGCUGCUGGCAAAGCAUAACCUGCAGGUGUACAUGGGAAGCCUUCUGUAACCACUCCAAUGCAUCUUCAACUGUAACUAAAAGCCAGGAAAGGCUGUGGUCAGAGGAGCUGAUCUCAGAGCUUCGAGUACCUAAAACAUUCCAAUCUGAGCAGUUCACUUACAUUUUUCCAAGGCACUUCAACCUAAACAGCCCAGUGAUGAAUUAUCAACCUCUUAAAUGCAAUCAGAUCACAACACAGAACCAGAGAGGACAGAGGAGAGGGGAGGGAAGGAAAUGAAUCAUUAGUUUCCCACAUCAUCAAAUAAUGUGCUGCAAACUCUCCCUGGCGCCAUAGAUAUUUAUGACAUUCAUUUGGGCCAGUGGAGAACAAAAAACCACAAUGGAAGAACAGCAGAAUGGAGCCUCAAUGUUAAUAAAACUCACAAUUACACUACUUCUGAUACUUUAUGCUGAGUUAUUUUGCAAUGCAAAAUAAUGGAUCCAGAAUAAACCUUAAAGCACAUGCUUCUAUAUUCUGAUCCAUCUUAUUAUUUUAUUUAUAUCAGAGUAAUACUCAAGUCUCAGUUGAAAUUUGGCCCCCAUAAUGUAAAGCAUUGUAUGAUGGAGACGGUGAAGACUCUGUAUUGUGCUAAAAGACAAUCCCAGCCCUGAAGAGUUUACAAUCUAGUGGACAAGACAGAUGAAGGGUGUAGGAAAAGGAUGCAACCUCGAGCCAGAGUGAACUGGGUGAUCUAGCUUUUUAUAUGCUUACCGACACUCUAGCUAAGGGUGCUCAUCAUAGGAGACAUUUAAGUUUUAAUGCCAGUAUCUAUAUCGUUCUUCUGGAACUUGUUUCUGUGCAAAAAUCUUAUUGUGUUUUGAGAGACUUGACAAGGCUAUCAAAAUUUAUCCUACCUGAAACUUGUUAUUUGAUGAUCAAAGUCCUCUAGGUCACAAAUAUCUAAAAAAGAUGCAUAUACAGAAUCAUCAUAAUUUUUUUUUUAAAUCUCCAUUUAUUAGGACCUACAGAAAACAAAAGACUCAUGCUGCCCCUGCUAGCACCAGUUUCCUAACACACACUAUUCCCAGGGCUAAGCUGACGUCAUCGAUGAUGCUGAUGCACAAGCUAAAUGGAUUUGGCCACAAAAGCUGCAAAGACUUUGCUAAAUGCAAGUCAGCCAUGUUAAAUUGAGCUUGGUUCAAAACACAAAGUAAAUCCAAGUUUGUGAAGUUUAAAGGGAUCUUUACAAGGAUCACGUUUUUCAAGCAGCUAUCUAAGAGGGUGUUGCAAACAAUAAAGAGAUUACAGAAAGUAACUGAAGAGCUCUCUAUAAACAGCUGCUCUAUUUUGUCAUGUCUUUGCCAUAUUCAACAGACUCCCCUCAAGGCCCUGUAGGAAUGCUGCUGCAGCAGCUUUCCUUUUGGGGGGUUGCUGGUAGUGGUCUCUACAUUAUGCCCAACCAACGGUCUCCUAACUCAGCCAUUUAUAAUCUACAGGGUUUAUAUGUCCUGCACAUCUGUGGGUGCUGUAUAAAUAACCAAAGGUAUCACUGCAGAGCAACCCGAGGUUCUGGGGCUGCACAUGCUACAAGGCCACAGGGGGAAGGAGGGACUGAGCCUGGGACUCAAACUCAGGUCAUUGUUAUGGUCGUGCCGGGCAUUAAGCACAGACCCACUGGAUCCAGCUCAGUUACGCACAAAUCUCAAGCAAAAUAAGAAAAAUCAGUCACAAUGGCUGACUUUCAUGUUGAAUCCACACAGCGCUGUGACAGUCCCAUAGCUUCAACUCAAAAUCAUACAUCAGUCCCUGGUCCACUCCAAACAUCUGCGAACCUCAUCAAAGCUGGGUGGUGCUUAGACCCAGCUGUGAAAGAAGCUGAAACCUGGUAAAUUUCACACCCUGUUCAGUGCAAGCUGAGAAUAUUUUGCACAGCUGUGCUUACCUACCUCAGUUCAGCGGUCUGUGAAGCAUAACCAGCUCAGACUGGUGAAUAGCUCUGUGGUGAUAAUAAUAAAUAAAUCCCUUGACAAACAGCUAGAUAAGUCCAGUUAGUUGGGCUAUAAUUAGUUGGGCUAUAAUUUAAAUGCAGCAUGAGACACGGAUGAACAAACAAGACAAUUGCAUUUAAGAACACCGGAAUGUGCUGUCAUGUAAACCCAGUUAUGAAAGGCUUGAAUAGCAAAUUAGUGGUCUCCAAGCACUAACCAUAUUAAUGUGAAUGUCUAUAUCAGAAAGUACAUGAAUGCACUGUUCAAAGUCUGAGCAGUUUGAUUUGAUGAUUCUCCUGCGCAUUGGGAAAGCUGAUUGGAAAUGAAAAACGCAUGCACUGAAGGAUGAUUGCCAAGAUUUACCACCAUUCCCAUGGCAAUGGGCUCUUUCAAUCACGCUCCGCUUUCCAAAGCAGAUCAGACACUUCUAAGAGAAAGUCAAAUGGCUCAUUUUACGGCAGGUCUGACCUGAAAGUACAUAACCUUGAUGGGAAACUGGGUUUUUUCAUUUACUGCUUAUUUCUGUAAUUCAAAUUCCCUCGGAUUCUCUCCUCUCCACUCGAAGAACAGGAUAGAUUCCCCCCCUUUGUACAAAGAAGAAGAUUCUGUGUUUUGUUAAGAGUUGAAAGGGAAUAGUGGGUUCAGUAAGUGCCAGAUUGCAUCAGCUUUUAACCUUACAACUACCCAAACUUAUAAACAGCCUCUGGUGGUUGGAAACUUUCAUUGUUAAAAUCAUAGUGAAACAUCUGGAAAUACAGACAGAAAAGCGAUUCCAUCAGUACUGAGAUACUACAGAGGUGGACGGGCACUACAGAAAAACCAAGGACUGAUCAGCAUUUGAUAUAGAACAGUAAUGUAGCUUGAGAGAUGCAAGUCCAGAAGGGCCCAUUGUGAUCACCUAGUCUGAUUUCCUGCAUAACAACGGGCCAGAGUAUUUUACCCAGUGAUUCCUGCAUCAAGCCCCUAUCUUAUGGCUGAGCGAGAGGUUUAAGAAAUACUUCCAAUCUUGAUUUAAAGAUGUCAGGGAUAGGAGAAAGCACCACAUCCCUUGGUAAAUUGCUCCAAUGGUUAAUUAACCUCAUAGUGAAAUAUCUGGAAUUUUAAUUUGUGUAGUCCUUGGACAAUACCUUUCAUACAAAAACGAAGCCGACAGAGAUGACUGGCCUCCAGCAUGUCAUUCUCUGUCUUGAUGCUGCUUGGCUGAAGACAGAACAUGGAGUGCUGGGAUCCUGUAGCAUCAGCAGGCCACACAGCUGUAUUAAAGGCGAGAAUGGCUGCAACGUGUUUCAUGUUAUGGAAAUUCCCUCUGGCCUCCUUAGAUCCAAGCAAGCCACCAAUAUGGCCUGAAACUGAAGGGAAGAUCUAGACCUGAAGCCAACGUUUGCACGAGCCUGUGCAAAGUGAAAGCGCAGAGCUUGGCGAAGUCCUAGCCAUUAACUGACCGUCUCUACAAGGCUGUCAACGUGGCACAAGGGAUUGGCAGACUCCAAUUACUGGCAAAGGGUAUCCUCUGCCCUGCUGGCACGGGAAGUUGGCUACAUUUAUUCUGAGCAAUUUGGCAUUUGUGAUCCACACAGGAAGGCUAAUGAAAGAGAAAGAAAAGGCAGUCACAGUACAAAUAGGUGAACAAUGGCCCCUGAAAGGACCAUCUAUUGUGUUAGGCAUGGUGAAUGGAAAGCCAAAUGUGAGCUAAUCGGAAACCACAGGAAGAUCAGAGGAUGCUGUAGGAGAACGCUGCCUCGGCAACUUUUAAAUGCAGCUUUUCCUGUCUUGAGGAGAAUGACACUGAAAUAACAUGCUUCUUGUUCGGAGAAUUUGAUCAUACAUUUAAAGAGGGGAUUCUUUGCUUCCCAACAGCUGUUGCAAAUCUGAAGGAUCAAGCCAAACCUAACACAGAUGUGGAAUUAAUCUACACUCUUCAGCCUGAAACCAGUUGAUGCUUACAGACUGCUCCUCACUCCCGAUUCACACUGUACUCCUGGAGCUCGGAAAUCGGGACCAGAGUUCAAAUCCUGAGUUUACAUACAAAUCACUUAACGUUUCAGUGCCUCAUUCCCCCAUCUGUCAAACAGAAUGAACACUGCAGAGUGAUAUGAUGCUUCAUUAACUAUUGUUGGGCCAUCAGCUGUAAUACCGAGAGGACUGUUUGAGAAACAUACAGGUAUUGCUCUGCUGGAAAAAAGACUAUGGCUCAGGCAGCUGGAGAACACAGGCUGGCUCCGACUCUGUCCUGUGGAUUGGUUCCAGGAUGUUGAGACAUCCUCAACUGUUCAUGACACUUCAUUCUCCGUCCAUGCUGCAAGAUGAAUGCCCUCCCCACGUCCUCACUCACUCCUAAUGCUAACUCACAGCUUGUACAUUGUGUCCUAAUGGAUUUACAAGUGCACGGGGGCUACCCCGAUGUUGCACGCAGCAGGUGGGGCACUGCAGGCCAACGGCACAUGCCCUCGCCCUGUCAAUUCAAAUCCAGUUAACGCCUGUCCUUCCAAUUCAAGCUUAGCUCAGAAGGGAAGGACUUCUCCCACUUCCUUCACAACUCCCCACUAUCUCCUUGUGUAGCUGAACCUCCUUAAUCCAAAUAGAAUGGGGGGCAUGACAUUUAUCUAGGUAGAAAGGGGGACUUUUCAAAGCAAAUUAUGCCUGCUGGAGGACUGACUUUAGGAAAGACAGAGUGCUGAAUACAUGGGUUUGGAUACAUUAGUUUUUACUGUGUUGCUAGUUAUUUCUCUCUGAAAAACAAUGAAAACUAAUUGCAAAAAAAACAAAGUACAAGAGACAGAGAUUUCCUCCUAGAGCAUUAAUAAACAGAGGAGGAGGCACUUGGACCUGUAAAGUGCAAUAUACAAGAUCAAUGUAAAUGAUUCAUAGAUUCUAAGGCCAGAAGGGAAAAGGGUGAUCAUCUAGUCUGACUUCCUGUAUAGCACAGGCCACAGAACCUUCCCAAAAUAAUCCUAGAGCAGAUCUUUUAGAAAAACAUCCAAUCUUGAUUUUAAACUUGCCAGAUAUGGUGGAUCCACCAUAGAUCUUGGUAAAUUGUUCCAAUGGUUAAUUAUCUUCACUGCUAAAAACUGUGUCUUAUUUGCACUCUAAAUUCGUCUAGCUUCAACUUUCAACCAUUGGACUGUUUUAGACCUCCCUCUGCUAGACUAAAAAGCCCAUUAUUAAAUAUUUGUUCCCUAUGCAGGUACUUACAGACUGUGAUCAAGUCAUCCCUUAAUCUUCUCUUUGUUAAAAUAAAUAUAUUGAGCUCCUUUAGUCUCUCUCUAUAAGGCAUGUUAUCAAAUCCUUUUCUCACUUUUGUGGCUCAUCUAUGAACCCUCUCCAAUUUAUCAACUUCCUCCCUGAAUUGUGGACACCAGAACUGGACACAGUAUUCCAGCAAUGGUCACACCAGUGACAAAUCCAGAGAUAAAAUAACCUCUCUAUUCCCGCUCAAGAUUCUCUUUUAUGCAUCCAAGGAUCACAUUAGUCCUGUGACCAUUGCAUUGCACGGGGAGCUCAUGUUCAGCUGAUUUUCCAUUACAACCCCCAAAUUCUUUCCAGAGUCCCUCAUCCUGUAAGCAUGGCCUACAGUCAUACUUUUACAUUUAGCCAUAUUAAAAACGCAUACUGGUUACUUACACUUAGCAAGCGAUCCAAAUCGCUCUGUAUCAGUGACUUGUCCUCUUCAUUAUCAGCCACUCCCCUAAUUUCUGUGUCAGAUGCAAACUUGACCAGUGAUGAUUUCAUGUUGUCUUCCAGGUCAUUGAUAAAAAUGCUAAAUAGAAAAGGGCUGAGAACCGAUCCCUGCAGGACCCCACUAGAAAUACAUCCGAGGAGGAGUCCAUUGAUGAUGAUCAAGAUGUUCCUGUUGCUGUUGUGUAUGGAGCACUGAGCAGCUACAGGUACCAUCUGUGUGGCAUGGUGGGUCUCUCUCUCCCUCCCCCUCCACAACCCUUGAGAAGACAUGGGCGAGCUGAAAUCAACACUGUAAACAGUCUCUUAUUCCACACAGGAAUUACAAUCAAAUAAUGCGUGCCUCAGCAGCUCCUGCUGGGAGCUUCCUUUCCAGCGCCAUGUUCCAGUGUCAGACUUUGUUCCACCAAUGUGGCUUUGUCAGCUAAAAAAUGCUAAACAAAAUAAAUAAAAA
Molecule: long non-coding RNA, 6809 nt
Organism: Chelonia mydas (Green sea turtle)
Lineage: Eukaryota; Metazoa; Chordata; Testudines; Cheloniidae
Exons: 3
Source: RefSeq, a predicted model, not a curated record